CGCCUGGGGAGUGCGGCCGCAAGGCUAAAACUCAAAGGAAUUGACGGGGCCCCGCACAAGCGGCGGAGCAUGCGGAUUAAUUCGAUGCAACGCGUAGAACCUUACCUGGGUUUGACAUGGAUCGGGAGUGCUCAGAGAUGGGUGUGCCUCUUUUGGGGUCGGUUCACAGGUGGUGCAUGGCUGUCGUCAGCUCGUGUCGUGAGAUGUUGGGUUAAGUCCCGCAACGAGCGCAACCCUUGUUCACUGUUGCCAGCACGUUAUGGUGGGGACUCAGUGGAGACCGCCGGGGUCAACUCGGAGGAAGGUGGGGAUGACGUCAAGUCAUCAUGCCCCUUAUGUCCAGGGCUUCACGCAUGCUACAAUGGCUGGUACAGAGAGUGGCGAGCCUGUGAGGGUGAGCGAAUCUCGGAAAGCCGGUCUCAGUUCGGAUUGGGGUCUGCAACUCGACCUCGUGAAGUCGGAGUCGCUAGUAAUCGCAGAUCAGCAACGCUGCGGUGAAUACGUUCCCGGGGCUUGUACACACCGCCCGUCAAGUCAUGAAAGUUGGUAACACCCGAAGCCGGUGGCCUAACCGUUGUGGGGGAGCCGUCGAAGGUGGGACUGGUGAUUAGGACUAAGUCGUAACAAGGUAACCGUA
Molecule: ribosomal RNA, 637 nt
Filed under: uncultured Propionibacterium sp.
Lineage: Bacteria; Bacillati; Actinomycetota; Actinomycetes; Propionibacteriales; Propionibacteriaceae
Description: bacterial SSU rRNA
Rfam family: Bacterial small subunit ribosomal RNA
Source: RNAcentral